GAUGAACGCUGGCGGCGUGCCUAAUACAUGCAAGUCGAGCGAACGGACGAGAAGCUUGCUUUUCUGAUGUUAGCGGCGGACGGGUGAGUAACACGUGGAUAACCUACCUAUAAGACUGGGAUAACUUCGGGAAACCGGAGCUAAUACCGGAUAAUAUUUUGAACCGCAUGGUUCAAAAGUGAAAGACGGUCUUGCUGUCACUUAUAGAUGGAUCCGCGCUGCAUUAGCUAGUUGGUAAGGUAACGGCUUACCAAGGCAACGAUGCAUAGCCGACCUGAGAGGGUGAUCGGCCAGACUGGAACUGAGACGCGGUCCAGACUCCUACGGGAGGCAGCAGUAGGGAAUCUUCCGCAAUGGGCGAAAGCCUGACGGAGCAACGCCGCGUGGGUGAUGAAGGUCUUCGGAUCGUAAAACUCUGUUAUUAGGGAAGAACAUAUGUGUAAGUAACUGUGCACAUCUUGACGGUACCUAAUCAGAAAGCCACGGCUAACUACGUG
RNAcentral lists this ribosomal RNA (497 nucleotides) under uncultured bacterium. RNAcentral's name for it is "partial 16S ribosomal RNA". It matches the Rfam family "Bacterial small subunit ribosomal RNA", at positions 28 to 507 of the family's 1533-position model. The record is from RNAcentral.